GAUGAACGCUGGCGGCGUGCCUAAUACAUGCAAGUCGAGCGAACAGACGAGGAGCUUGCUCCUCUGACGUUAGCGUCGGACGGGUGAGUAACACGUGGAUAACCUACCUAUAAGACUGGGAUAACUUCGGGAAACCGGAGCUAAUACCGGAUAAUAUAUUUAACCGCAUGGUUCAAUAGUGAAAGACGGUUUUGCUGUCACUUAUAGAUGGAUCCGCGCCGCAUUAGCUAGUUGGUAAGGUAACGGCUUACCAAGGCGACGAUGCGUAGCCGACCUGAGAGGGUGAUCGGCCACACUGGAACUGAGAAACGGUCCAGACUCCUACGGGAGGCAGCAGUAGGGAAUCUUCCGCAAAGGGCGAAAGCCUGACGGAGCAACGCCGCGUGAGUGAUGAAGGUCUUCGGAUCGUAAAACUCUGUUAUUAGGGAAGAACAAAUGUGUAAGUAACUAUGCACGUCUUGACGGUACCUAAUCAGAAAGCCACGGCUAACUACGUG
RNAcentral lists this ribosomal RNA (497 nucleotides) under uncultured bacterium. Its description in RNAcentral is "partial 16S ribosomal RNA". It matches the Rfam family "Bacterial small subunit ribosomal RNA", at positions 28 to 507 of the family's 1533-position model. The record is from RNAcentral.